UACGUAGGGACCAAGCGUUGUUCGGAUUUACUGGGCGUAAAGGGCGCGUAGGCGGCCCCGCAAGUCACUUGUGAAAUCUCUGGGCUUAACCCAGAACGGCCAAGUGAAACUGCAGGGCUAGAGUGUAGAAGGGGCAAUCGGAAUUCUUGGUGUAGCGGUGAAAUGCGUAGAUAUCAAGAGGAACACCUGAGGUGAAGACGGGUUGCUGGUCUAACACUGACGCUGAGGCGCGAAAGCCAGGGGAGCAAGCGGG
RNAcentral lists this ribosomal RNA (253 nucleotides) under uncultured bacterium. RNAcentral describes it as "partial 16S ribosomal RNA". It matches the Rfam family "Bacterial small subunit ribosomal RNA", at positions 524 to 776 of the family's 1533-position model. The record is from RNAcentral.